AAAAUUAACCAGGUGCUCCGCAGGGCGCAGCUUUAUACGACCGCAGAGGUCGAACCCUGAACAGUUGGGGCAAGUAUGGACAAAACAUUCAAGCGUGAUACAGCUCUGAAUUUGGAUUGUGAUCAAAUUUUUGACAUUACAUGGUGUUUUUUUACACAAAACAAAUGUCAAGAUUUUACAAAUUUUACAAUUAAAGAUUUCUUCUUCAAACUUUUUAAAUCUAAAAUUAAAUAGUUGACACAGCAUAGGUUUCUGACACAGAAUGAAUGUGGUCUAAUGAACUUAAAAGUUUGUUUUUGCCUUUUAGCAAUUCACUAUGCUGUUGAAUAUUAAUCCUCUCAAAAAAAUGUUUGAAGAAAUUUUCUUUUUAUUUAUGAAAUCUGAAAUGAGAAAAAUUUACCCCCCCCCCUUUUUUCA
This 417-nucleotide long non-coding RNA is filed under the name Mytilus galloprovincialis (Mediterranean mussel). The record is from RNAcentral. Lineage: Eukaryota; Metazoa; Mollusca; Bivalvia; Mytilida; Mytilidae.